GGGUGAUUAGCUCAGUUGGUUAGAGCGCUACGUUGACAUCGUAGAGGUCGGAGAUUCGAGUUCUCUAUCACCCACCA
This 77-nucleotide transfer RNA is filed under the name Rickettsiales bacterium. Its description in RNAcentral is "tRNA-Val". It matches the Rfam family "tRNA". From Rfam's summary of the family: Transfer RNA (tRNA) molecules are approximately 80 nucleotides in length. Their secondary structure includes four short double-helical elements and three loops (D, anti-codon, and T loops). Lineage: Bacteria; Pseudomonadati; Pseudomonadota; Alphaproteobacteria; Rickettsiales. The record is from RNAcentral.